CCUACGGGCGGCAGCAGUGGGGAAUAUUGGGCAAUGGAGGCAACUCUGACCCAGCAAUGCCGCGUGAGUGAUGAAGGUAAUUUUAUUGUAAAGCUCUUUUCUUUGGAACGAAUAAAUGACGGUACCAAAGGAAUAAGCCCCGGCUAACUACGUGCCAGCAGCCGCGGUAAUACGUAGGGGGCAAGCGUUGUUCGGAAUGACUGGGCGUAAAGGGUGUGAAGGUGGUUUGAUAAGUUAGAUGUGUAAUACCCAGGGCUUAACUCGGGUGCUGCAUCUAAAACUGUUAGACUGGAGUACUGGAGAGGAUAGUGGAAUUCCUAGGGUAGCGGUGGAAUGCGUAGAUAUUAGGAGGAACACCAGUGGCGAAGGCGACUAUCUGGCUGUACAUUGACGCUGAGGCUCGAAAGCAUGGGGAUCAAACAGGAUUAGAUACCCCUGUAGUC
RNAcentral lists this ribosomal RNA (443 nucleotides) under uncultured bacterium. RNAcentral describes it as "partial 16S ribosomal RNA". It matches the Rfam family "Bacterial small subunit ribosomal RNA", at positions 338 to 795 of the family's 1533-position model. The record is from RNAcentral.